This is a long non-coding RNA of Rhipicephalus sanguineus (brown dog tick), 284 nucleotides long. RefSeq lists it as uncharacterized. Lineage: Eukaryota; Metazoa; Arthropoda; Arachnida; Ixodida; Ixodidae. The record is from RefSeq and is a predicted model, not a curated record. The transcript has 3 exons.
CGUUUUCAGUAAUAAGUUAUAAUGAAUAACUUUAGGUAUCUUUUCCUUGUCGCCUUACUCAUCCUGUUUGCUUGCAGUCUGCAUCUGCAAGUGGAGUGUGCUGAGAAAUCCCAGUCGAGUAGUCAACGUACAUUUGAAUGCCCGCGUAGAGGCCGCGGUGGCAACCAGAAAUACGGAAAAUGCCAAAAUGGCACGUGCAUUGUUCCCAAGUAAAACAGCCUUGUUGCAUGGCCCUGAGGACAAAGGUUGCUUACUAGGAGAAUGAAAAUAAAGGGAUGUGUGGA